UCGCGGUACGCUCCCGCUGCUAUUCAGCUGUCGGGCUAAUUAGCAGUCGAGGUGUGCGGCUAGGCGCGGGCUCUGCAGGAGCUCAGCCCCACGGAGGGAGCCGGCAGCGGCGCGGCGAGGACGGCGGCGGACCGGGGAAGCCCCGCGCCCUGGCCAGCUCUACUGAAAUGAAGAAAGAAAAACAAUACAUGCCCAGCUCCAGAGACACGUAAAGGGACAGAGAUUGGGGGACAGAAGGAAGUGCAUUAAUUCCCUCCACGACCCCUGAAGAGCAGCAGUGGGUCUGAGCAUCCUAUCUCCAGGAAGCGGGCCAGCAGGCAAGCCAGCUGCCACCUCGUUCACCCUGUGCAAAGCACAGGCACCGUCCCCAAAAGAUAUAGAAGACUUAGAUCACUACGAGAUGAAAGCAGAGCCCAUUAGUGGGAAAAAGUUGGAGGAUGAAGGAAUUGCAAAAGAAAAUUUGGCAAUAUUAGAGAAAUUAGGAAGACUGAAAGGCAAGAGCAUUUAACUGCGGUUGACCCUGCUAGUCCUUUGCACAGUGAUCUUCAGAUCUUAAAAGAAAAAGAAGGCAUAGGAGAUACUUUGCUUAACUUAUCUUUUAAGAAACUGUUGUCGUUGUCAACUGGGUUGUCUUCCUGAAGUAUGAAUCCGCCAAUGGCUCCUGACACCAGAAAGAAGGGCCUUUUUCUGUGGUUGGAGUAUUUCUUAAGAGUCCUGAGAAAAAUGUGAUUGCCUUGAGCUAACUGACCUUCUGAAGAGGACCUUAAACUGAAUUUCCAAGUUAUUAGUGUCGGGAUUCACAGACUUUGGAGAAUAGCAGGUAUGUAUUGUGUGGAGGAGCAUUACGUAUUGAACUUCUCACAAAACAGGGCUGAAGCAGUGCCUACUCGACAGAACCGGUCAUCGUACAAAGAAAUGCCACCUGACUCAAAGGCAAAGCCAGAGUACAGCUUGGAGCAAAG
This 962-nucleotide long non-coding RNA is filed under the name Pan troglodytes (chimpanzee). Its description in RNAcentral is "long non-coding RNA NONPTRT005588". The record is from RNAcentral. Lineage: Eukaryota; Metazoa; Chordata; Mammalia; Primates; Hominidae.